CCUACGGGAGGCAGCAGUGGGGAAUAUUGGACAAUGGGGGGAACCCUGAUCCAGCCAUGCCGCGUGUGCGAAGAAGGCCCUCGGGUUGUAAAGCACUUUCAGCGAGGAAGAACGCCUAGCGGUCAAUACCCGCUAGGAAAGACAUCACUCGCAGAAGAAGCACCGGCUAACUCCGUGCCAGCAGCCGCGGUAAUACGGAGGGUGCAAGCGUUAAUCGGAAUUACUGGGCGUAAAGCGCGCGUAGGUGGCUUGAUAAGCCGGUUGUGAAAGCCCCGGGCUCAACCUGGGAACGGCAUCCGGAACUGUCAAGCUAGAGUGCAGGAGAGGAAGGUAGAAUUCCCGGUGUAGCGGUGAAAUGCGUAGAGAUCGGGAGGAAUACCAGUGGCGAAGGCGGCCUUCUGGACUGACACUGACACUGAGGUGCGAAAGCGUGGGUAGCAAACAGGAUUAGAUACCCUGGUAGUCCACGCCGUAAACGAUGUCGACCAGCCGUUGGGUGCCUAGCGCACUUUGUGGCGAAGUUAACGCGAUAAGUCGACCGCCUGGGGAGUACGGCCGCAAGGUUAAAACUCAAAUGAAUUGACGGA
RNAcentral lists this ribosomal RNA (587 nucleotides) under uncultured bacterium. RNAcentral describes it as "bacterial SSU rRNA". It matches the Rfam family "Bacterial small subunit ribosomal RNA", at positions 338 to 917 of the family's 1533-position model. The record is from RNAcentral.